UCAGGAGGUACAUGUGCAGGUGUUUUACCUGGAUCUAUUGGAUGAUGCUGAUGCUUGGAAUACAAGUGAUUCCGUCACCCAGGAUAUAUCAAGUACCAAAAAGCAAGCUUGUCCAGGCAUGGUGGCUCACACCUGUAAUCCCAGCACUUUAGGAGGCCAAGGCAAGUGGAUCACUUGUGCUCAGGAAUUGAAGCCCAGCCUGGCCAACAUGGAGAAGCUCCAUCACUACUAAAAAUACAAAAAAUUAGCUGGGUGUGGUGGCGUGCACCUGUUAUACCAGCUACUUGGGAGGCUGAGACAGAAGAAUUGCUUGAACUUGGCAGGCGGACUUUGCAGUGAGCCGAGACCAGCGACUGUACUCCAGCCUGGGUGACAGAGCAAGACUGUGUCUCAAAAACCCAAAAAAAAAAAAAAAAAAAGAAGCAAGCUGCAAAUCAGUCAAUAUAUGAAAAUCCAACGUGGCAUGCUACUACUUUUCAUAUAAAAAAGAGAGGAUACUAUAUAUAUAUGAAAUACAUGACUUUUUAAUAUUUAUAUCUUAUAUUAAUAACACUUAUUUACUACUUUUAGUUUAUCUUUUAUUAUUU
RNAcentral lists this long non-coding RNA (587 nucleotides) under Homo sapiens (human). RNAcentral's name for it is "HSALNT0142190". Lineage: Eukaryota; Metazoa; Chordata; Mammalia; Primates; Hominidae. The record is from RNAcentral.